Verticillium longisporum is the source of this 91-nucleotide small nucleolar RNA. It matches the Rfam family "A. fumigatus snoRNA Afu_190". Lineage: Eukaryota; Fungi; Ascomycota; Sordariomycetes; Glomerellales; Plectosphaerellaceae. The record is from Rfam.
ACAUGAUGAUACGCCAGCUGGCACCAGUCAUAGAAAGACUUGUACUCCCAUCUUUGAUGACACAUGCUUCGGUCUUCGACCUCUCUCUGAA